UGUUACCCGCUGAACUUAAGCAUAUCAAUAAGCGGAGGAAAAGAAACCAACAGGGAUUGCCCUAGUAACGGCGAGUGAAGCGGCAACAGCUCAAAUUUGAAAUCUGGCUCUCGGGCCCGAGUUGUAAUUUGUAGAGGAUGCUUUUGAUGCGGUGCCUUCCGAGUUCCCUGGAACGGGACGCCAUAGAGGGUGAGAGCCCCGUCUGGUUGGAUGCCAAAUCUCUGUAAAGCUCCUUCGACGAGUCGAGUAGUUUGGGAAUGCUGCUCUAAAUGGGAGGUAUAUGUCUUCUAAAGCUAAAUACCGGCCAGAGACCGAUAGCGCACAAGUAGAGUGAUCGAAAGAUGAAAAGCACUUUGAAAAGAGAGUUAAAAAGUACGUGAAAUUGUUGAAAGGGAAGCGUUUAUGACCAGACUUGGGCUUGGUUAAUCAUCUGGGGUUCUCCCCAGUGCACUUUUCCAGUCCAGGCCAGCAUCAGUUUUCGCCGGGGGAUAAAGGCUUCGGGAAUGUGGCUCUCUCCGGGGAGUGUUAUAGCCCGUUGCGUAAUACCCUGGCGGGGACUGAGGUUCGCGCAUCUGCAAGGAUGCUGGCGUAAUGGUCAUCAACGACCCGUCUUGAAACACGGACCAAGGAGUCGUCUUCGUAUGCGAGUGUUCGGGUGUCAAACCCCUACGCGUAAUGAAAGUGAACGCAGGUGAGAGCUUCGGCGCAUCAUCGACCGAUCCUGAUGUUCUCGGAUGGAUUUGAGUAAGAGCAUACGGGGCCGGACCCGAAAGAAGGUGAACUAUGCCUGUGUAGGGUGAAGCCAGAGGAAACUCUGGUGGAGGCUCGCAGCGGUUCUGACGUGCAAAUCGAUCGUCAAACAUGGGCAUGGGGGCGAAAGACUAAUCGAACCUUCUAGUAGCUGGUUUCCGCCGAAGUUUCCCUCAGGAA
RNAcentral lists this ribosomal RNA (930 nucleotides) under Fusarium equiseti. RNAcentral describes it as "partial large subunit ribosomal RNA". It matches the Rfam family "Eukaryotic large subunit ribosomal RNA", at positions 21 to 979 of the family's 3401-position model. Lineage: Eukaryota; Fungi; Ascomycota; Sordariomycetes; Hypocreales; Nectriaceae. The record is from RNAcentral.